Molecule: ribosomal RNA, 723 nt
Filed under: uncultured Fusobacterium sp.
Lineage: Bacteria; Fusobacteriati; Fusobacteriota; Fusobacteriia; Fusobacteriales; Fusobacteriaceae
Description: bacterial SSU rRNA
Rfam family: Bacterial small subunit ribosomal RNA
Source: RNAcentral
GAUGAACGAUGCCAGAAAGCUUAACACAUACAAGUCGCCUCGAGUCUUCGGACUUGGGUGGCGCACGGGUGAGUAACGCGUAAAGAACUAGCCUCUAGACCGGGACAACAUCUGGAAACGGAUGCUAAUACCGGAUAUUAUGGUUUUUUCGCAUGGAGGAAUCAUGAAAGCUAGAUGCGCUAAGAGAGAGCUUUGCGUCCCAUCAGCUAGUUGGUGAGGUAACGGCCCACCAAGGCAAUGAUGGGUAGCCGGCCUGAGAGGGUGAACGGCCACAAGGGGACUGAGACACGGCCCUUACUCCUACGGGAGGCAGCAGUGGGGAAUAUUGGACAAUGGACCACAAGUCUGAUCCAGCAAUUCUGUGUGCACGAUGACGUUUUUCGGAAUGUAAAGUGCUUUCAGUCGGGAAGAAGUCAGUGACGGUACCGACAGAAGAAGCGACGGCUAAAUACGUGCCAGCAGCCGCGGUAAUACGUAUGUCGCAAGCGUUAUCCGGAUUUAUUGGGCGUAAAGCGCGUCUAGGCGGCAAGGAAAGUCUGAUGUGAAAAUGCGGAGCUCAACUCCGUAUGGCGUUGGAAACUGCCUUACUAGAGUACUGGAGAGGUAGGCGGAACUACAAGUGUAGAGGUGAAAUUCGUAGAUAUUUGUAGGAAUGCCGAUGGGGAAGCCAGCCUACUGGACAGAUACUGACGCUAAAGCGCGAAAGCGUGGGUAGCAAACAGG